CCUACGGGUGGCAGCAGUGGGGAAUAUUGGUCAAUGGCCGUAAGGCUGACCCAGCAAAGUCGCGUGAAGGAAGAAGGAUCUCUGGUUUGUAAACUUCUUUUAUAGGGGAAUAAAGGUUUCCACGACUGGAUAUUUGCAUGUACCCUAUGUAUGAGCAUCGGCUAACUCGGUGCCAGCAGCCGCGGUAAUACGGAGGAUGCGAGCGUUAUCCGGAUUUAUUGGGUGUAAAGGGUGUGUAGGUUGUUUUUUAAGUCAGCGGUGAAAGUUUGUGGCUCAACCAUAAAAUUGCCGUUGAAACUGGAAGACUUGAGUGUGUUUGAGGUAGGCGGAAUGCGGGGUGUAGCGGUGAAAUGCAUAGAUAUCACGCAGAACUCCGAUUGCGAAGGCAGCUUACUAAGCAAUAACUGACGCUGAAGCACGAAAGCGUGGGGAUCAAACAGGAUUAGAUACCCGUGUAGUC
Molecule: ribosomal RNA, 460 nt
Filed under: uncultured bacterium
Lineage: Bacteria
Description: partial 16S ribosomal RNA
Rfam family: Bacterial small subunit ribosomal RNA
Source: RNAcentral